Non-coding RNA from Ceratotherium simum simum (southern white rhinoceros), 113 nucleotides. The record is from RefSeq and is a predicted model, not a curated record. NCBI's taxonomy places the organism in Eukaryota, Metazoa, Chordata, Mammalia, Perissodactyla, Rhinocerotidae.
UAAGUAACUUUUAUGACCACCAGCCUCCAAGAUGGCCCCCAGCAAUCCUCACCUCCUGGUAGUCACACCCUUGUGUAGUCCCCUCCCACAUUAAAUAGGGCUGAGCUGGGUGA